UUAGGGUUCCUCUUUUAAGACAGUAGAACUUAUAAAAUCCAUUUCCCUCUUUCUCUGUCCAUCCAUUUCUCCCUCUUUUUUUCUUUUUCUUCUUUUUUAUCCUCUCAAAAUCCUUUUUCUGUUGCAGAAUUUACUCCUUUUUAGUUUUGUGGAGUAUGCCAAAAGCUGGGGUUUUUCCUGGUUAACUAAGGCCUAUUUUUGGGUGGGUUGAACUUAUAUCAGUACUAGCAGAUUAGAGGUUCUCUCAAGUUUCAGACAUAUUUGAGUUCCUAUCUUGGAACAAUGAUGAUGUUUGACGAGAUGGAAUUUGUGGGGAUAUGGAUUUCUUCAGUGCUCCACUUGGGGAAAAAGAUGUGGCAGCCUCACAAAUUGAACCAGAGGCGACGGUGGAGGAUGAUUAUAGUGAAGAAGAAAUUGAUGUGGAUGAACUUGAGAGGAGGAUAUGGAGGGACAAAAUGCGUCUCAAACGGCUUAAAGAGCAAAAUAAGUGCAAGGAGGGGAUUGAUAUUGCUAAACAGCGCCUGUCACAAGAACAGGCAAGGAGAAAGAAGAUGUGUGGGUUCUCACGGCUGUGAUCAAGCAUAUAUGCUCGUUUUCUUUAGUUUACCUUCUGCUACGCGAUUGGAAUGGGAAUGGGUCAGAAGAUUUCUUUCUGACCAUUAAAAAUCAAUGUUCAAACUUUUUGAUGUUGUAAAAUUAUAUAACAUAUGGAUUAUGAUGUAGAAUUUCAUUUUCAUCUAACCUUUUCUUAAUAUAAGUUAAUUAUGUUUAUGCAGAAUAUAA
Gossypium raimondii (Peruvian cotton) is the source of this 783-nucleotide long non-coding RNA. RefSeq lists it as uncharacterized. The transcript has 2 exons. The record is from RefSeq and is a predicted model, not a curated record. NCBI's taxonomy places the organism in Eukaryota, Viridiplantae, Streptophyta, Magnoliopsida, Malvales, Malvaceae.